Molecule: non-coding RNA, 496 nt
Organism: Thunnus maccoyii (southern bluefin tuna)
Lineage: Eukaryota; Metazoa; Chordata; Actinopteri; Scombriformes; Scombridae
Source: the annotation of a RefSeq genome assembly
CUCCCAUCAGAUCACCUUCAAUACCAAUCAUGUUCUCUGUAGCUCUGCUGCUGCUGCUGGCUGCUGGAUCUUGUGUGAAGUGUGAACAGUUGACACAGCCAGCCUCAGUGACUGUGCAGCCAGGUCAACGUCUGACCAUCACCUGUCAGGUCUCUUAUUCUGUUAGUGGCUAUUACACACAUUGGAUCAGACAGCCUGCAGGGAAAGAACUGGAGUGGAUUGGAAUGAGAAGUACUGGAGGCUCUGACUACAAAGAUUCACUGAAGAACAAGUUCAGUAUCGACUUAAACUCUUCCAGCAACAGAGUGACUCUAAACGGACAGAAUGUGCAGCCUGAAGACACUGCUGUGUAUUACUGUGCCAGAGACCCACAAUAACACAAACCAUCAGCAGACCUGGACAAAACCCCUCAGUGCCUGAACACUUGUAACAUGAAGCCACCAGAGGAGGAGCCCUCAGACCACUAAUGAGUUCAACACCUGUUCACGAUAAAGGG